This 500-nucleotide ribosomal RNA is filed under the name uncultured bacterium. RNAcentral describes it as "bacterial SSU rRNA". It matches the Rfam family "Bacterial small subunit ribosomal RNA", at positions 28 to 535 of the family's 1533-position model. The record is from RNAcentral.
GAUGGACGCUGGCGGCGUGCCUAAUACAUGCAAGUCGAACGGAGGGCAGCAAUGCUCUUAGUGGCGAACGGGUGAGUAACGCGUUGGUGACCUGCCCCAAAGCGGGGGAUACCAAGCCGAAAGGCUUGCUAAUACCGCAUGUGCAACCGAGGGAUUAGAAGCUUGGUUGUAAAGGAGGACGCUCGAAAGAGCGCUUCCACUUUGGGAGGGGCCUGCGACCCAUCAGCUAGUUGGUAAGGUAACGGCCUACCAAGGCGAUGACGGGUAGGGGACCUGAGAGGGUGAUCCCCCACAAUGGAACUGAAACACGGUCCAUACACCUACGGGUGGCAGCAGUAGGGAAUAUUGCAUAAUGGGCGAAAGCCUGAUGCAGCAACGCCGCGUGUGCGAUGAAGGCCUUCGGGUUGUAAAGCACUUUUGAUCGGGAAGAGGAAGGACGGUACCGGUCGAAUAAGCCUCGGCUAACUACGUGCCAGCAGCCGCGGUAAAACGUAGGAGGC